UCCGUAGGGUGCAAUCGUUAAUCGGAAUUACUGGGCGUAAAGCGAGCGCAGGCGGUUGUGUAAGACAGGUGUGAAAUCCCCGGGCUCAACCUGGGAACUGCACUUGUGACUGCACGGCUAGAGUGCGUCAGAGGGGGGUGGAACUCCACGUGUAGCAGUGAAAUGCGUAGAGAUGUGGAAGAACACCGAUGGCGAAGGCAGCCCCCUGGGAUGACACUGACGCUCAUGCUCGAAAGCGUGGGGAGCAAACAGG
This 253-nucleotide ribosomal RNA is filed under the name uncultured bacterium. RNAcentral describes it as "partial 16S ribosomal RNA". It matches the Rfam family "Bacterial small subunit ribosomal RNA", at positions 524 to 776 of the family's 1533-position model. The record is from RNAcentral.